UUACUGGAAGAACCGUCUUACAGUUACAGUCACCUCCUGGUCAAUUCCCAACAUUCAAAAGCUAAAGAAACAGGCUCAGAGGAUGUUAUCUGAUUGGAUUAUGUUGUAUCUCUGGAGAGCACAGCUGAGAUCAGACUGUGUGUGUGUAACUCCACUAGACUACGAGGGUGCUUCUCAUAAAGGGUUGCAAGAUCAUAGUUCUCGGGGUGUUUAAAGGCAACACCUUCCGGAAGCCCCUGCACUACCACAGCCGACUGGUCUCGCAGCAUCUUCUCAUAUGGUACAGGUACCACUGUGGAUUUGCCUAAAGCUUUCCCUGGGGGAGAUGAAAAGCGGAUGAACAUCAUUCAAUGAAUGCGCAGGCCUACCCAACUAUGGAAUGAUGGAACAGAAGGCCUCACCAUGGACUCGAGAGCUGACAUGAGGAAUGUCACCACCAUCCUGCUCUCCGAGGACUCCUCAUCUUCAACGGGCAGGGUGGACAUUGCAACUUGGGCCAUGAUCCCUGUGCAGGAGAAGUAAGAAGAAAGUGAGUGGUAGAAAUCUGGUGUCCUGAACCCACAGCCAAAGCUGUGAGGGCCCCUCACGGGCUGCCUAAUUUACAGUUUUCUUGCUCUAGAGACAAAAUAAGGCUCAGAAACUAAGUAUUUGACUUGCCCCAACCCUCAUAAGAUAAAGAAUCUAUCCCCU
RNAcentral lists this non-coding RNA (690 nucleotides) under Pan troglodytes (chimpanzee). The record is from RNAcentral. Lineage: Eukaryota; Metazoa; Chordata; Mammalia; Primates; Hominidae.